AGAGUUUGAUUAUGGCUCAGGAUGAACGCUAGCGACAGGCUUAACACAUGCAAGUCGAGGGGCAGCGGGGGAGUAGCAAUACUCCCGCCGGCGACCGGCGCACGGGUGAGUAACACGUAUGAAACCUGCCCGUAGCAGGGGGAUAAGCGGAAGAAAUUCCGUCUAAUACCGCGUAACAACCCGAGGAGGCAUCUCCUCGGGUUUAAAGGGAGCGAUUCCGGCUACGGAUGGUCAUGCGUCGCAUUAGCUUGUUGGCGGGGUAACGGCCCACCAAGGCGACGAUGCGUAGGGGUUCUGAGAGGAAGGUCCCCCACACUGGUACUGAGACACGGACCAGACUCCUACGGGAGGCAGCAGUGAGGAAUAUUGGUCAAUGGCCGCAGGGCUGAACCAGCCAAGUCGCGUGAGGGAUGACGGUCCUAUGGAUUGUAAACCUCUUUUGUCAGGGAGCAAAGGGCGCCACGUGUGGCGUUUUGCGAGUACCUGAAGAAAAAGCAUCGGCUAACUCCGUGCCAGCAGCCGCGGUAAUACGGAGGAUGCGAGCGUUAUCCGGAUUUAUUGGGUUUAAAGGGUGCGCAGGCGGAAUGUCAAGUC
RNAcentral lists this ribosomal RNA (594 nucleotides) under uncultured bacterium. RNAcentral describes it as "bacterial SSU rRNA". It matches the Rfam family "Bacterial small subunit ribosomal RNA", at positions 8 to 589 of the family's 1533-position model. The record is from RNAcentral.